RNAcentral lists this ribosomal RNA (379 nucleotides) under Sundathelphusa halmaherensis. RNAcentral's name for it is "partial 16S ribosomal RNA". The record is from RNAcentral. Lineage: Eukaryota; Metazoa; Arthropoda; Malacostraca; Decapoda; Parathelphusidae.
UCUGGUUGGAGAUUUAAGAAGUCUAGCCUGCCCACUGACUUAAAGUUGGUUUAAGGGCCGCGGUAUUUAUGACCGUGCAAAGGUAGCAUAAUCAUUAGGUUUUAAAUGGAAUCUUGUAUGAAUGGUUGGACAAAGGAGAAGCUGUCUUUAUAUAAAGAAUUUGAAUUUUACUUUUAAGUGAGAAGGCUUAAAUAAUUUAGUGGGACGAUAAGACCCUAUAAAGCUUUACAUUAUAGUUACAUUUAGUUUAAUUUAGAAAAUAAAAAUUUAAUGUAGGUAUUUGUUUUGUUGGGGAGACAAAAGUAAAAAUUAUAUUAACUGCUUAAAAAAUAAACAUUUAUUGAUGUAUAAUUAAUAGAUCCUAAAUAUAGAUUUAAAG